UAAAUUGUAUCCGUGCGUCGCUGUCCGUCGAUUAUUAUGCUAUUAUUAAUAUGGUAUUGCACAUGUGAUUUUAAACGCUUUAUUUUUGUGUACCCUUAAGCUUUUAACUUUGUAAACGUUAAUCAAUAAUUAAAUGUAUUUUUUAUUUAAAUAUAA
Molecule: long non-coding RNA, 156 nt
Organism: Drosophila guanche
Lineage: Eukaryota; Metazoa; Arthropoda; Insecta; Diptera; Drosophilidae
Exons: 3
Source: RefSeq, a predicted model, not a curated record